RNAcentral lists this ribosomal RNA (497 nucleotides) under uncultured bacterium. Its description in RNAcentral is "partial 16S ribosomal RNA". It matches the Rfam family "Bacterial small subunit ribosomal RNA", at positions 28 to 507 of the family's 1533-position model. The record is from RNAcentral.
GAUGAACGCUGGCGGCGUGCCUAAUACAUACAAGUCGAGCGAACGGACGAGAAGCUUGCUUUCCUGAUGUUAGCGGCGGACGGGUGAGUAACACGUGGAUAACCUACCUAUAAGACUGGGAUAACUUCGGGAAACCGGAGCUAAUACCGGAUAAUAUUUUGAACCGCAUGGUUCAAAAGUGAAAGACGGUCUUGCUGUCACUUAUAGAUGGAUCCGCGCUGCAUUAGCUAGUUGGUAAGGUAACGGCUUACCAAGGCAACGAUGCAUAGCCGACCUGAGAGGGUGAUCGGCCACACUGGAACUGAGACACGGUCCAGACUCCUACGGGAGGCAGCAGUAGGGAAUCUUCCGCAAUGGGCGAAAGCCUGACGGAGCAACGCCGCGUGAGUGAUGAAGGUCUUCGGAUCGUAAAACUCUGUUAUUAGGGAAGAACAUAUGUGUAAGUAACUGUGCACAUCUUGACGGUACCUAAUCAGAAAGCCACGGCUAACUACGUG